Molecule: ribosomal RNA, 459 nt
Filed under: uncultured bacterium
Lineage: Bacteria
Description: partial 16S ribosomal RNA
Rfam family: Bacterial small subunit ribosomal RNA
Source: RNAcentral
CCUACGGGAGGCAGCAGUGAGGAAUAUUGGUCAAUGGCCGCAGGGCUGAACCAGCCAAGUCGCGUGAGGGAUGACGGUCCUAUGGAUUGUAAACCUCUUUUGUCAGGGAGCAAAGGGCGCCACGUGUGGCGCUUUGCGAGUACCUGAAGAAAAAGCAUCGGCUAACUCCGUGCCAGCAGCCGCGGUAAUACGGAGGAUGCGAGUGUUAUCCGGAUUUAUUGGGUUUAAAGGGUGCGCAGGCGGAAUGUCAAGUCAGCGGUAAAAUUUCGGGGCUCAACCCCGUCGUGCCGUUGAAACUGGCGUUCUUGAGUGAGCGAGAAGUAUGCGGAAUGCGUGGUGUAGCGGUGAAAUGCAUAGAUAUCACGCGGAACUCCGAUUGCGAAGGCAGCAUACCGGCGCUCAACUGACGCUCAUGCACGAAAGCGUGGGUAUCGAACAGGAUUAGAUACCCGAGUAGUC